This 279-nucleotide ribosomal RNA is filed under the name Paenibacillus taihuensis. RNAcentral describes it as "partial 23S ribosomal RNA". It matches the Rfam family "Bacterial large subunit ribosomal RNA", at positions 2639 to 2925 of the family's 2925-position model. Lineage: Bacteria; Bacillati; Bacillota; Bacilli; Caryophanales; Paenibacillaceae. The record is from RNAcentral.
UAUCUGUCGUGGGCGCAGGAAAUUUGAGAGGAGCUGUCCUUAGUACGAGAGGACCGGGAUGGACGCACCGCUGGUGUACCAGUUGUUCCGCCAGGAGCAUAGCUGGGUAGCCAAGUGCGGACGGGAUAAGCGCUGAAAGCAUCUAAGCGUGAAGCCCCCCUCAAGAUGAGAUUUCCCAAUUAGUAAGACCCCUGAAAGACGAUCAGGUUGAUAGGUUCGAGGUGGAAGCGCAGCAAUGUGUGGAGCUGACGAAUACUAAUCGGUCGAGGGCUUAUCCUA